UGGAGAAAACAAAACGUAUUUCAUACUCCAGCUGGUUUUAGAUUUGAUUAGUGUGUUAAUUCAACCUGCAAAGUUUAAAGAAAGGACAAAUCUAACAAAGGACAGAAUCAUGUCUGAUCUACGGGCCUCUAAGGAAAACCUUCAAGGAAAAGUACCUGAGCGCUGGUGAUGGGUAAAUGUCUUAUGGGACAGACCUGUGUUGCCUAAUCCAAGAUUUUAUUUUGGAGGCUGGAGAGAUGACUCCAUGGUUAAGAGCACUGGCUACUCUUGCAGAGGACCCAGGGUUAGUUCCCAGCACCAAAUGGCGGCUGACAGCCCUCUGGAACUGCACGUCUAGGAGAUCUGGCGCACUCUUCUGACCACCGAGGGCUCUGCAUGACACAGGUGCAGAGCAAUACACUCAUAUACAUGAUACAACAAAAAUAAAAAUAUUCAAAGAUUUUAUUUUUAAUUA
Long non-coding RNA from Nannospalax galili (Upper Galilee mountains blind mole rat), 454 nucleotides. RefSeq lists it as uncharacterized. The transcript has 3 exons. The record is from RefSeq and is a predicted model, not a curated record. Lineage: Eukaryota; Metazoa; Chordata; Mammalia; Rodentia; Spalacidae.